UACGUAGGGGGCAAGCGUUAUCCGGAUUUACUGGGUGUAAAGGGAGCGUAGACGGGGAUGCAAGUUGGGUGUCAAAACUACCGGCUCAACUGGUAGUCGCACUCAAAACUGCAGCUCUUGAGUGAAGUAGAGGCAGGCGGAAUUCCUAGUGUAGCGGUGAAAUGCGUAGAUAUUAGGAGGAACACCAGUGGCGAAGGCGGCCUGCUGGGCUUUUACUGACGCUGAGGCUCGAAAGUGUGGGGAGCAAACAGG
RNAcentral lists this ribosomal RNA (252 nucleotides) under uncultured bacterium. RNAcentral's name for it is "partial 16S ribosomal RNA". It matches the Rfam family "Bacterial small subunit ribosomal RNA", at positions 524 to 776 of the family's 1533-position model. The record is from RNAcentral.